GAUUAUGGCUCAGGACGAACGCUGGCGGCGUGCCUAACACAUGCAAGUCGAGCGAGGAGAUCCUUCGGGAUGAUCCUAGCGGCGGACGGGUGAGUAACACGUGGGCAACCUGCCUCAUAGAGAGGAAUAGCCUUCCGAAAGGGAGAUUAAUACCUCAUAACAUUGCAGUUUCGCAUGGAACAGCAAUUAAAGGAGCAAUCCGCUAUGAGAUGGGCCCGCGGCGCAUUAGCUAGUUGGUGAGGUAACGGCUCACCAAGGCGACGAUGCGUAGCCGACCUGAGAGGGUGAUCGGCCACAUUGGGACUGAGACACGGCCCAGACUCCUACGGGAGGCAGCAGUGGGGAAUAUUGCACAAUGGGGGAAACCCUGAUGCCAGCAACGCCGCGUGAGUGAUGACGGCCUUCGGGUUGUAAAGCUCUGUCUUCAGGGACGAUAAUGACGGUACCUGAGGAGGAAGCCACGGCUAACUACGUGCCAGCCGCCGC
RNAcentral lists this ribosomal RNA (486 nucleotides) under uncultured bacterium. RNAcentral describes it as "bacterial SSU rRNA". It matches the Rfam family "Bacterial small subunit ribosomal RNA", at positions 15 to 518 of the family's 1533-position model. The record is from RNAcentral.